RNAcentral lists this ribosomal RNA (235 nucleotides) under uncultured bacterium. RNAcentral's name for it is "partial 16S ribosomal RNA". The record is from RNAcentral.
CUGCUGCCUCCCGUAGGAGUCUGGGCCGUGUCUCAGUCCCAAUGUGGCCGGCCAACCUCUCAGUCCGGCUACUGAUCGUCGCCUUGGUGGGCCGUUACCCCGCCAACUAGCUAAUCAGACGCGAGUCCAUCUCAGAGCGAUAAAUCUUUGGCAGUCAGAGCCAUGCGACCCAACUGCAUUAUGCGGUAUUAGCAGCUGUUUCCAGCUGUUAUUCCCCACUCCAAGGCAGGUUACU